This 452-nucleotide ribosomal RNA is filed under the name uncultured bacterium. RNAcentral's name for it is "bacterial SSU rRNA". It matches the Rfam family "Bacterial small subunit ribosomal RNA", at positions 917 to 1382 of the family's 1533-position model. The record is from RNAcentral.
GGGCCCGCACAAGCAGCGGAGCGUGUGGUUUAAUUCGAUGCAACACGAAGAACCUUACCCAGGUUUGACAUACAGGUAGUAGUGAAGCGAAAGCGGAACGAUCUUCGGAAGCCUGUACAGGUGCUGCAUGGCUGUCGUCAGCUCGUGUCGUGAGAUGUUGGGUUAAGUCCCGCAACGAGCGCAACCCUCGUCGCUAGUUACAAGUGUCUAGCGAGACUGCCGAUCUUAAGUCGAAGGAAGGUGGGGAUGAUGUCAAGUCAGCAUGGCCUUUAUAUCUGGGGCUACACACACGCUACAAUGGCUAGUACAAUGGGCAGCUAAAGGGCGACCUGGAGCGAAUCCCACCAAAGCUAGUCGUAGUUCAGAUUGUAGGCUGCAACUCGCCUACAUGAAGCCGGAGUUGCUAGUAAACGCAGGUCAGCUAUACUGCGUUGAAUACGUUCCCGGGCCUU